CCUCGCAAGAGGAGCGGCAGACGGGUGAGUAACGCGUGGGAAUCUACCGUACCCUACGGAAUAGCUCCGGGAAACUGGAAUUAAUACCGUAUACGCCCUUCGGGGGAAAGAUUUAUCGGGGUAUGAUGAGCCCGCGUUGGAUUAGCUAGUUGGUGGGGUAAAGGCCUACCAAGGCGACGAUCCAUAGCUGGUCUGAGAGGAUGAUCAGCCACAUUGGGACUGAGACACGGCCCAAACUCCUACGGGAGGCAGCAGUGGGGAAUAUUGGACAAUGGGCGCAAGCCUGAUCCAGCCAUGCCGCGUGAGUGAUGAAGGUCUUAGGAUUGUAAAGCUCUUUCACCGAUGAAGAUAAUGACGGUAGUCGGAGAAGAAGCCCCGGCUAACUUCGUGCCAGCAGCCGCGGUAAUACGAAGGGGGCUAGCGUUGUUCGGAAUUACUGGGCGUAAAGCGCACGUAGGCGGAUAAUUAAGUCAGGGGUGAAAUCCCGCAGCUCAACUGCGGAACUGCCUUUGAUACUGGUUAUCUUGAGUAUGGAAGAGGUAAGUGGAAUUGCGAGUGUAGAGGUGAAAUUCGUAGAUAUUCGCAGGAACACCAGUGGCGAA
RNAcentral lists this ribosomal RNA (602 nucleotides) under Gillisella vitis. Its description in RNAcentral is "bacterial SSU rRNA". It matches the Rfam family "Bacterial small subunit ribosomal RNA", at positions 82 to 719 of the family's 1533-position model. Lineage: Bacteria; Pseudomonadati; Pseudomonadota; Alphaproteobacteria; Hyphomicrobiales; Rhizobiaceae. The record is from RNAcentral.